RNAcentral lists this transfer RNA (76 nucleotides) under Verrucomicrobiota bacterium. RNAcentral's name for it is "Verrucomicrobia bacterium (gut metagenome) tRNA-Gly". It matches the Rfam family "tRNA". From Rfam's summary of the family: Transfer RNA (tRNA) molecules are approximately 80 nucleotides in length. The record is from RNAcentral. Lineage: Bacteria; Pseudomonadati; Verrucomicrobiota.
GCGGGCGUAGCUCAGUUGGUAGAGCGUCACCUUGCCAAGGUGAAUGUCGAGGGUCCGAAUCCCUUCGCUCGCUCCA